AACAUACUUCGUCCGUCCAACAAUGGAUGUCUCAACUUUGACUAAAUUUGAAUGCAUUUAUAUACUAAGUCAUGUCUACAUACAUUCAAAUUUGAACAAAUUUGAGACAUCUUUUGUUGGACGGAGAGAGUAAAUG
Molecule: non-coding RNA, 136 nt
Organism: Brachypodium distachyon (stiff brome)
Lineage: Eukaryota; Viridiplantae; Streptophyta; Magnoliopsida; Poales; Poaceae
Source: Rfam